Molecule: long non-coding RNA, 1244 nt
Organism: Pongo pygmaeus (Bornean orangutan)
Lineage: Eukaryota; Metazoa; Chordata; Mammalia; Primates; Hominidae
Exons: 4
Source: RefSeq, a predicted model, not a curated record
CUCUCUUCUACAAAACUCAGAGGGACUCUUCAGGAGCCACACGCUCUCAUCCAGCAGAAACUUUUUAAGAGGUGGACAACAACCCAGAGUAGACACAAAGCUGGUGCUCUUCCAGUAGAGUAGAGAUGGGGUUUCACCAUGUUGGCCAAGCUGAUCUCGAACUCCUGACCUCAAGUGAUCCACCCUCCUUGGCCUCCCAAAGUGCUGGAAUUACAGGCGUGAGCCACCGUGCCCAACCAGUGAGGCCACGUUUCUAAAAGAAGAAAGAAACGACAAACUAAAAUACGUGACUGUGUAGAUGAGAAAGGACAUGAAAUGAAACAGGAAAAAGACAGGGUCUCACUCUGUUGCCCAGGCUGGAGUGCAGUGGUGUGAUCAUGGCUCACUGCAGCCUCAACCUCCCAGUCUCAAGACAUCCUCCUGCUUCAGCCUCCCAAGUAGCUGGGAUUACACGUGUGCUCCACCACAGGACAUGUUUACAACAACUCUGUUUUUCAGAUGAAGACAUUGAGACACAUAGAGGAGAAGUAUUUGAUCAAAGAUCAUAUAGCUACUGUGGCCUAAAUGAAUGGAUAACAUCUCAGUCUGAAGUCAGCAUGGAGUCGAGUCAUUGGGAUGAUUUCUGUUUACUAGAUUGCCAAUUCAUACUUUAUCUGCCAAUCUAAUUUCCUUAGAGUCCCUGUUUGUCCCUGCAGAAUAAAAAACAUAUUGCUUACUGUAUAAAUUAUACAUUGUCUAAUAACUGGUUAUAGUUAGUUGAAGCAAGUUACUAAUGAAUAUGUAAUCUUGGAUUUGAUUCUAGAAUUUACCCGUUAGCUUGUCUUUUCUUCCCCUAUUAAGAGCCUGAGCCUCCUGUCAAUCUCUAAAUUAAAAGCUUCUUCAUAGCCUACUCUUUCAACCUAAUCUCCUUUCCUUUUUCAACAGGCAGACUAGGAUCCUUCUCUUCACUUCCACCAACCUCCUAUGCACAUUGCUGCUUCCACACUUGUGCUCAGAACCCCCUGGACCAGUUCAUCCUGCUUCACUGCCUGUUCUAGUCUAUCCUUCUUAAGGCUCAGCUCAUAGAGCCUUCCAGGAAUGCUAGCCCCCAGUGAUCUAGCCCUCCUCUGAGCUAACCAGCUGCAUGUGGCCCAUUCCACUUUGUUGAUGCUUGAUAAUACUGAUCAUAGUAACACUGUGUCUUGUUCCAGUUUUUACAUUAUCACCAUUCUUUACAGUCCAUGGCAAUAAAUGUUUGUCAAAUG